Molecule: small nuclear RNA, 98 nt
Organism: Cervus hanglu yarkandensis (Yarkand deer)
Lineage: Eukaryota; Metazoa; Chordata; Mammalia; Artiodactyla; Cervidae
Source: Ensembl
GUGCUUGCUUUGCAGUGCAUAUACUAAAAUUGGAACAAUACUUAGCAAGGCCCCUGCACAAGGAUGACACACAAAUUCAUGAAGUGUUCCAUAUUUGU